UUUGUUGCUUUUUUACAUUCUUUACUAUAUACUGAUUUUUGUCAUUUUGAUGGCUACGGUGAUAAACGUCGUGAUAAAUAGAUGACGUGGACUCGGGGGCAGAGCCCGACAUCUCCACCAUAUGGGGAUGAAUAGAUUCGACAUGCGUUGAAAAGCACGAUUUUCACUCGGGAUGGUUUACGUAAUAGAACCAAAAACUUAAAUGCGAACUCUUUUUUCGCAUGCAACGAUAAUUUUGCAGACGAGCUGAUGGCUAUUGCUGCUUAAUUGACGUAGACGCGGUUUGGGAGCGCCGGGCAACAGAAGUCUCCUACG
Molecule: transfer-messenger RNA, 315 nt
Filed under: Holosporaceae bacterium
Lineage: Bacteria; Pseudomonadati; Pseudomonadota; Alphaproteobacteria; Holosporales; Holosporaceae
Rfam family: Alphaproteobacteria transfer-messenger RNA
About the family: Bacterial tmRNA, also known as 10Sa RNA or SsrA, is named for its dual tRNA and mRNA-like properties.
Source: RNAcentral